AGUUGAUUAAGUUUUGAUUUAGGAUUAAGAUUUUAUUUAGGAUUUAGGAUUUAAUUAAGAUUUGAUUUAGGAUUAGGAUUUGGUUAGGAUUUGGUUUAGGAUUUAGGAUUUAAUUUAGGAUUAGUUAUGAUUUGAUUUAGGGUUUAGGAUUUGGUUAGGAUUUGAUUUAGGAUUUAGGAUUUUAUUUGAGUUUGUUUAGGAUUUAAGAUUUAAUUAGUUUUUGGCCUAAAGUUUGAAUGAAGUCCAAUAGGAUUUUAAUUAGGAUUAAAUUAAAAUUAAAUUGAGAUAUAUUUGAAAUAUAUUUGUGAUCAUUUUAAUAUCUCUUUAAGAUUUCUUAUUGUUUCUUUAUAAUUCCUUUGAGGUUUCUUUGAAUUUGAUUAAAGAUUGCUUAGCAUUGUUAUGGUCUAAUUAGAAUUUAAUUAGUAUUCUAUUAGAGUUAGGAUUUUUUUGUUGCAAUUUCUAUUCUACCUUCCACAACUAGGUGCCCGGAGCAUUCUCAAGCAAGACUUUAUGUAUUAUGACAACAUACAUCUGCAAAGAUCAAUCUUUUUUCUUUAAAAAUAAGAUAAAAACUCUUGCUACAACUUUCAAAUGGCAUAUGAAGUUCUUAGCUAAGUUCUCAUCAAUGUGUUCUUUUAGUGCAGCCAAUUCAUUUUCUAAUAAGUUGUAGAUCAAUCUGAAUGGUGAUUGAGCUCUUUCUUGUAGAUCAAUUAAACAAUCAUAAGAUCAAUACUUUGGAAGAAUAUC
Molecule: long non-coding RNA, 747 nt
Filed under: Physcomitrium patens
Lineage: Eukaryota; Viridiplantae; Streptophyta; Bryopsida; Funariales; Funariaceae
Description: long non-coding RNA (PPAT_LNC000979)
Source: RNAcentral